This 392-nucleotide ribosomal RNA is filed under the name uncultured bacterium. RNAcentral's name for it is "partial 16S ribosomal RNA". It matches the Rfam family "Bacterial small subunit ribosomal RNA", at positions 523 to 918 of the family's 1533-position model. The record is from RNAcentral.
AUACGGAGGAUCCGAGCGUUAUCCGGAUUUAUUGGGUUUAAAGGGUGCGCAGGCGGCCAUUUAAGUCAGCGGUUAAAUCGUGGGGCUCAACCCCAUUCUGCCGUUGAUACUGGGUGGCUUGAUUGCGGUCGAGGUUGGCGGAAUUCGUUGUGUAGCGGUGAAAUGCAUAGAUAUGACGAAGAACACCGAUUGCGUAGGCAGCUGACCAGAACGCAAAUGACGAUCAUGCACGAAAGUGCGGGGAUCGAACAGGAUUAGAUACCCUGGUAGUCCGCACAGUAAACGAUGAAUACUUGUUUUCGGCGAUAUAAUGUCGGAGGCAAAGCGAAAGCGAUAAGUAUUCCACCUGGGGAGUACGCCGGCAACGGUGAAACUCAAAGGAAUUGACGGGG